GUCGACGGGUAGCCGGCCUGAGAGGGUGACCGGCCACACUGGGACUGAGACACGGCCCAGACUCCUACGGGAGGCAGCAGUGGGGAAUAUUGCACAAUGGGCGCAAGCCUGAUGCAGCAACGCCGCGUGCGGGAUGACGGCCUUCGGGUUGUAAACCGCUUUUAGUAGGGAAGAAGCCUUCGGGUGACGGUACCUGCAGAAAAAGGACCGGCUAACUACGUGCCAGCAGCCGCGGUAAUACGUAGGGUCCGAGCGUUGUCCGGAAUUAUUGGGCGUAAAGAGCUCGUACGCGGUUUGUCGCGUCUGCUGUGAAAACUAGAGGCUCAACCUCUAGCCUGCAGUGGGUACGGGCAGACUUGAGUGGUGUAGGGGAGACUGGAAUUCCUGGUGUAGCGGUGGAAUGCGCAGAUAUCAGGAGGAACACCGAUGGCGAAGGCAGGUCUCUGGGCACUUACUGACGCUGAGGAGCGAAAGCGUGGGGAGCGAACAGGAUUAGAUACCCUGGUAGUCCACGCCGUAAACGUUGGGCGCUAGAUGUGGGGACCUUUCCACGGUUUCCGUGUCGUAGCUAACGCAUUAAGCGCCCCGCCGGGGAAAGUACGGA
This 604-nucleotide ribosomal RNA is filed under the name Agromyces sp. RNAcentral describes it as "bacterial SSU rRNA". It matches the Rfam family "Bacterial small subunit ribosomal RNA", at positions 275 to 886 of the family's 1533-position model. The record is from RNAcentral. Lineage: Bacteria; Bacillati; Actinomycetota; Actinomycetes; Micrococcales; Microbacteriaceae.